UAACCCGUACCCAGAUCAGACACUUGUGGGGUGGUAGAGAAUACUAAGAUAAUCGAGAUAACUAAUGGGUAAGGAACUUGGCAAAUUAGCGGACGUACUUUCGAAAUAAGUCCUGUCCCGAGCAAUCGGGAUCGCAGCGAAAGAGAUGGGGGGAACUGUUUAUCAAAAACACAGCUCGCUGCUAACUCGUAAGAGGAUGUAUAGCGGGUGAUGCCUGUCCAAUGCCAGAAUGUUAUGCUCUCUUGUGCAAGCUCGAGGGUUAAGCACUGGUGAAUGACGGCCGUAACUAUGACGGUCCUAAGGUAGCGAAAUUCCUUGUCAGGUAAGUUCUGACGCGCAUGAAUGGCAUAAUCAUCCCCAUGCUGUCUUACCCUUAGACUCGGUGAAAUUACAUUCCCGGUAAAAAUGCCGGGUAGUCACAGUUAGACGGAAAGACCCUGUGAAGCUUUACUGUAGAUUGAUAUUGGAUUGUAGCAUGUUUUGCUCAGUAUAGGUGGGAGGCUUUGAUGUUUCGACUUCGGUUGGGGCGGAGCCAAUAGUGAGAUACCACCCAAAAUAUGUAGCAAUUCUAAUCCCUAGGUUGGGAGACAGUUUCAGUUGGACAGUUUACCUGGGGCGGGUGCCUCCUAAAAAGUAGCGGAGGCGUGCAAAGGUUUGCUUACUACGGAUGGAAACCGUGGUGAAUGUGUAUUCGCAUAAGCAAGCUUGACUGUGAGACUGACAGGUCGAACAGAUACGAAAGUAGGCGAAAGUGAUCCGGAUCUUCCGAGUGGAAGGGGAUCCGCUCAACGGAUAAAAGUUACUCCGGGGAUAACAGGCUAAUGGAAUCUAAGCGUUCACAGCGACGAUUCCGUUUGGCACCUCGAUGUCGACUCGUCGCAUCCUGGGGCUGUAGAAGGUCCCAAGGGUUGGGUUGUUCACCCAUUAAAGCGGGACGCGAGUUGGGUUCAGAACGUCGUGAGACAGUUCGGUCCCUAUCUACUGUGACCGUAGGAUAUUUGAGAGAUGCUGACCCUAGUACGAGAGGACCGGGUUGGACGAGCCUCUGAUAGUACCAGUUGUUCCACCUAGGAGCACGGCUGGAUAGUUAAGCUCGGAAAAGGUAACCGCUGAAAGCAUCUAAGUGGGAAACUUGUCUCAAGAUUAGAUAUCCCUCUU
Molecule: ribosomal RNA, 1158 nt
Filed under: human metagenome
Description: bacterial LSU rRNA
Rfam family: Bacterial large subunit ribosomal RNA
Source: RNAcentral